This 2481-nucleotide ribosomal RNA is filed under the name Thraustochytrium sp. LLF1b. RNAcentral's name for it is "partial Eukaryotic large subunit ribosomal RNA". It matches the Rfam family "Eukaryotic large subunit ribosomal RNA", at positions 1 to 2450 of the family's 3401-position model. Lineage: Eukaryota; Bigyra; Thraustochytrida; Thraustochytriidae. The record is from RNAcentral.
ACCUCAAAUCAGGAAAGGAUACCCCCUGAAUUUAAGCAUAUAACUAAGGGGAGGAAAAGAAACUAACGAGGAUUCCCCCAGUAACGGCGAGUGAAGCGGGAAGAGCCCAGGUUGAAAAUUUAGGCGUUUUAGUGUCUAAAAUUGUAGUCUAGAGACGGUGUUUCCAGUUGUUGGUAUGUGCUUUAGGUUCCUUGGAAGAGGACGCCAUAGAGGGUGAGAGUCCCGUUUAGGCACGUGUUGGCAGCGUCCGGGUAUUGUUCUACGAGUCGAGUUGCUUGGGACUGCAGCUCCAAGUUGGUGGUAAAUUCCAUCAAAGGCUAAAUAGCGGCGAGAGACCGAUAGCGAACAAGUAGCGUGAGCGAAAGAUGACAAGAACUUUGAAAAGAGAGUGAAAGAGUACCUGAAAUCGUUGAAAGGGAAGGGUUUGCGUCCAGUGUUGGUUUUGCGUGUGGUUGUCCGUUGUUGCGAAAGAGCGGAUUGCCGUGCGUGGGACAGUCUCUGCCCGGCGUGGCGUUGGGGGGAUAGUGAUGGGGAGUGGUGUGCUUUUUUGGUACGCGCCCCCGUUCCACCCCCUCGAUCCGCGUUUCCUAAGAACAUGCCAUUUUCAGUAUCCACGGAUAGCUCGAAUGACAUAGAGGGCCAGAGGAAAUGUACGUUGACCGCCCGUCUGGAAACACGGACCAAGGAGUCUAAGAUGCGUGCGAGUGUUAGGGUGUUGAAAGCCGUGACGCGCAAUGAAAGUGAUAGGUGCUAUGGGGCGGAGGAAGUCCGUCCCGGCAACAUCGGCCGCUUUUGUUUCUCGAAGCAAAAAGUGAGUUGGAGCAUGUAUGUUGGGACCCGAAAGAUGGUGAUCUAUGCUUGUGUAGGGCGAAGCCAGGUGAAAAGCUGGUGGAGGUCCGCAAACGGUUCUGACGUGCAAAUCGAUCGUGAGACAUGGGUAUAGGGGCGAAAGACUCAUCGAACCAUCUAGUAGCUGGUUCCCUCCGAAAUUUCCCUUAGGAUAGCUAUAAUCAUGUUAGUUUCAUCAGGUAAAGCGAAUGAUUAGAGGGUUGGGGGGCGAAAUGCCCUCGACCUAUUCUCAAACUUUAAAUGGGUGAGCACGCGGGGUUGCUUUUGUGAAGCUCGCGGUUGAAUAGUGUUGGUUAUUAGUGGGCCCCCUCUGGUAAGCAGAGCUGGCGAUGCGGGAUGAUCCGAACGAGCGGUUAAAGUGCCUUUGUGUUGGCUCAUGUAGAUCCCAUAAAAGGUGUUGGUUCAUUUAGACAGCAGGACGGUGGCCAUGGAAGUCGGAAUCCGCUAAGGAGUGUGUAACAACCCACCUGCCGAAUGAAGUAGCCCUGAAAAUGGAUGGCGCUGGAGCCAGCGGACUUAUACCGUUCCAAUUUUCUUGAUGUGUUGGAGAGAAAAUUGAGUAGGAGGGCGUGGGGGUGUUGAUGCAUGCUGUGAUGUGAGUGCAGCAGAAAGCUCCCCUAGUGCAGAUCUUGGUGGAAGUAGCAAGUAUUCAAAAGCGAUCUUUGAAGACUGAAGUGGAGAAAGGUUUCAUGUGAACAUCAAUUGGACAUGAGUGAGUCGGUCCUAAGAGAUAGCCAAGUGGCGUUCUUAGUUUUCCCAUUUGUAAGAGUGGGGAUGUAAUCGAAAGGGAAUGAGGUUAAUAUUCCUGAACGAGGACAGUGUAUGCAUAAUUUGGCGACAGUUGUGGUUGUUGGGAGACGUUGGCGGGCAUCCCGGGAAGAGUUGUCUUUUCUUUUUGACUGUGAGUGGUGUCGGCCUGGAAUCGAUUUGUUCGGCGAUAGGGCGGUGUUCGCAGGCAGAGCGCUGUCAGGGUAGAUGGCGUCCGGUGCAUGUUUGUCUCUCCUUGAAAAUCCCAAGGAUCGUAAAUGGUAUAAUCACUCCUCUCCGUACUGUAAACCGCAACAGGUCUCCAAGGUGAGAAGCCUCUAGUUGAUAGAAGAAUGUAGAUAAGGGAAGUCGGCAAAGUAGAUCCGUAACUUCGGGAAAAGGAUUGGCUCUGAGGGUUUGGUGUGUUGUGUUGUGUUGGUGGGGGCGGUUGCUUACGUGUUGUUUUGGUAGCAAUACUGGAGCACACGGUCGGGCGACCCCCUCCUGACCACAACGCCAAACAACACACGGAUAUAAACCGGCUCAGAACUGGAGCGGACAAGGGGAAUCCGACUGUUUAAUUAAAACAAAGCAUUGCGAUGGUGUGUGAGCAUGUUGACGCAAUGUGAUUUCUGCCCAGUGCUCUGAAUGUCAAAGUGAAGAAAUUCAAUCAAGCGCGGGUAAACGGCGGGAGUAACUAUGACUCUCUUAAGGUAGCCAAAUGCCUCGUCAUCUAACUUGUGACGCGCAUGAAUGGAUUAACGAGAUUCCUACUGUCCCUAUUUACUAUCUAGCGAAUCCACAGCCAAGGGAACGGGCUUGGAAGAAUCAGCGGGGAAAGAAGACCCUGUUGAGCUUGACUCUAGUCUGACGUUGUGAAAUGAC